UUUUUUUUUUUAUUUUUUUUAAUUAUUUUUUUGCUUUUUAGGGCUGUGCCCGCGGCAUAUGGAAGUUCCCAGAUCAGGGGCUGAAUCAGAGCUGCAGGUGCCAGCCUAUACCACAGCCACAGCAACGUGGGAUCCAAGCCACACCUGCGACCUACACCAUAGCUCACGGCAACACUGGAUUCCCGAUCCACUGAGUGAGGCCAGGGAUCGAACCCACAACCUCAAGGACACUAGUUGGAUUUAUUUCUGCUCUUCUAUGAUGGGAACUCUAUUGUAUGUAGAUUUUACUCAGGUUUUCUUCCACCUUAUUUCCCAGGGCUCAACUAGGAAGUGCCCCCUCCAUCACAGUUGAAAAGCCAGCCCACGGGAGCAUUAUUGCCAGUGUUGAGUACAUCUCGUGUGGCUCCAAGGCUGUGGUCAUCCAGGGCUCUUCUGAAAAGAGCAGCAAACUGUGGAGGGCUGAGGCACCACCCAAGGGACUCUUGGGGAGAUGACCAGAGGGCAUCUCAAAAGCCCAGCUGCUUUCAUUUACCACAAUCUCAGGUUUCCUGACCCAGAAUCUCCCGUUUGGAUUAACCCUGGUCAGACCCUCCUGUUGAAAGCAGUCUCUCCCCUACUCAUGGAUGUGAACAGACCAAAGUCAGUGGAAGCACAUGCACAAGCCAUUGUUUAGAACGGCUCAUGCUUCCACAUCAGAGCAAUACACACAAGAGCAAGGGGAAUGUAUUGUGCUUCACGGCUUACGCCAAGUCCAAGUAAAAACAAGUCCCCAAAUGUCACAUGCCUUGGAGCACAAAGGGGAAAAAACCAUGCUGCCGUAAGCAAAUCUAAAAUCCCUUCUUCAGGACUCCAGCUCAAAAAGCCUUAGGCGGUCCAUCGGCAACAUUCUCCCAGGAGCAUCAUAAUGUUAACAUUCCAAAGAAUCUGAUUCUAGAGCCCCAGAAUCAGGGUCUAGGAUGCCAGAGAAAGGAAGGAGAGGGAUCCCCAUGAAUCCUGGGAUUUUGUAUCAGGGCAAAGGCUAAGAAGUAGGAAGUCAAGCGUGAAAUCCUGUCAACACUGUUGACUCUGAAAACCAUCCUAAGAAUGUCCCAUUUCACUAACUGGAAGGUCUCCCAAGUAAGCCAACACCCGAUGCCAUGUGGCAAUGUCAGGUAAUCAGCUCAUUUCUCUCUUCCUUUAUGUCAUUGGGAACCAGCUCCGCACAGCCUUCCUUAAAUGGAAGGUUUGACCAAUCUGCCAGCUAGUAUUUUAACAGCAUGGAUAAGAAAACCUUUUUUAAAAAAGUAGACGUCUUAUCCAGCUCCAGGAUGUCUCGAGAAGGGUAGAGGGAGGAUGUCACAGACAACAGAAAAGCUUCAGUCCAAAAGCUUUUCCCUGAAGCGUGAGUGUGGAAUGGGUCAAGCGCAAGGGUGUUUGAAAAAAUAAAAUAAUCUGGGGUUAAUAGAUGCAAACUAUUGCCUUUGGAGUGGAUAAGCAAUGAGAUCCUGCUAUAGAGUGCUGGGAACUAUAUCUAGUCACUUAGGAUGGGGCAGGGUGGAGGAUAACGUGAGAAAAAGAAUGUAUGUAUGUAUGUGUGAUGGGGUCUCUUUGUUGUACUGUAGAAAAUUGACAAAACACUGUAAACCAGCUAUAAUGGAAAAAAACAAAAAUCAUUUAAAAAGUAAAUAAAUGGAAUUAUAUUACAAAAAAGAAAAUAUUACUGGUUAUUUUUCCAAAAGAGCAUAUGGUUCUCAACAUAUCUGUCUUAUCCAUAGUUCAGUUUCUAUCAGUGACCAUCUAAAUAUGUAUUUUAACCAGAUGCCCACUAAUUUGCAGUGUUCCGCUGACGAUAACACUAGCAGCUAGUCCCGAGGGUUUUCUGUGUGCUGAGCACUGCGGAAAAACUUCUUGUUGAUUUAUGCAAUCCUCCAAAGACACUUUAGGGGUCAGCUUUGUUAUUGACAUCUCCAUUUUACAGAUGGGGACAUCAAGACUGAAAGAGUUAAAGAAUUUGUCUGAGGUCCUAUGAGUUAGUCAAGGGUCCCUAUAAAAUAUAAGAGCAGGCUCUCGAAGAGGGGGAAGCUGGGUGAGAAAAAUGCAGAACUGGAAAGGGUGCAUUCUAUCUUAGCAUCCGCUUCGAAGUCACAGCUGAUGGACCCCAUCUGGAAAGGUGGGGACCCCUUUUCCUAGUUCCACUUACAUUUCUCACACAAAUUGAAAAAUAGGUGAGUUAAAGUGCAUAUAUUAGGAGCUCCAGUUUGCAACCUCUGCUAGACUGGAACAGAGGAACCUCACCCCAGCACCCCCUCCACAUUCAGCUCUAACACUUGUCAAGAGCCUCUGCAGAGCUACAAGCCAGGGAUGUUUGUUCCCUGUCCAAUGGACAACCAUUCUGCGUGUACAUUUGAUAACAACAGCGUGAUAGAUUGUUUGUGGUUACCAGUAUGAACCAAGUCUCUUGCAAAGAACCUGACAUAUGCCGUAUCAUUUAAUAUUCACAACUACUCUGCCAUUUACAUCUAGCUCAUUACCCAUGUCUUCCAGAAGAAAACACGGGGUCAAAAAAUGUGAUCACAAACAAGUGCGAUAUCACUUACACGUGGAAUUUUUUAAAAUACAAAAAACCAGUGAGUAUAACAAAAAAGAAGCAGACUCACAGAGAGAACAAACUAGUGGUUACCAGUGGGGACAGGAACGGGAGAGGGGCAAUAGAGGGGAAAGGAUUAAUAGGUGCAAACUAUCAAACACCUGUGACUCAGAUAAUACCGUACGGCAACUACACCUCAAUUUAAAAACGUGUUCAUCACAAUCCUAAAGUCACAGAAUAAGACGCUAGAACUAAAGGACUCAAGCCUCUAUGACACCCUGAGCUAAGAUUUUGCUACCCAGAGGAGACCUUCCCCUGCAAAACUCAGAUUCUAGGCACACAAACCAGAAACCCACUGAGACAAUCUAUUCUUGCAAGAAAGUUACCAGUGCUUAUUUACAACAGCCAAGACAUGGAAACAACCUAAAUGUCCAUCCACAGGAGAGUAGAUAAAGAAGAUGUGGUAAUAUACACAAUGGAGUAUUACUCAGCCAUUAAAAAGAACGAAAUACCAGCAUUUUUUGCAACAUGGAUGGACCUAGAAACUAUCAUGCUAAGUGAAGUCAGCUGUACAAUGAGACACCAAAUCCAGUGCUUUCACUGACAUGUGGAAUCUGAAAAAAGGACAGACUGAACUUCUUUGCAGAACAGAUACUGACUCUCAGACAUUGAAAAACUUAUGGUCUCCGGAGGAGACAGUUUGGGGGAUGUGCCUGGGCUGUGGGAUGAAAAUCCUGUGAAAUCAGAUUGUUAUGAUCAUUAUACAACUACAGAUGUGAUAAAUUCAUUUGAGUAAUAAAAAAUUAAAAAAAAAAAAA
RNAcentral lists this long non-coding RNA (3384 nucleotides) under Sus scrofa (pig). RNAcentral's name for it is "lncRNA (ENSSSCG00050002310.1)". The record is from RNAcentral. Lineage: Eukaryota; Metazoa; Chordata; Mammalia; Artiodactyla; Suidae.